RNAcentral lists this ribosomal RNA (387 nucleotides) under uncultured bacterium. RNAcentral describes it as "bacterial SSU rRNA". It matches the Rfam family "Bacterial small subunit ribosomal RNA", at positions 30 to 419 of the family's 1533-position model. The record is from RNAcentral.
AUUGAACGCUGGCGGCAUGCCUUACACAUGUAAGUCGAACGGCAGCGGGCCUUCGGGUGCCGGCGAGUGGCGAACGGGUGAGUAAUGCAUCGGAACGUGCCAUUGAGUGGGGGAUAACGUAGCGAAAGUUACGCUAAUACCGCAUAUUCUGUGAGCAGGAAAGCAGGGGACCGCAAGGCCUUGCGCUCUUUGAGCGGCCGAUGUCAGAUUAGCUAGUUGGUGAGGUAAAGGCUUACCAAGGCGACGAUCUGUAGCGGGUCUGAGAGGAUGAUCCGCCACACUGGAACUGAGACACGGUCCAGACUCCUACGGGAGGCAGCAGUGGGGAAUUUUGGACAAUGGGCGCAAGCCUGAUCCAGCCAUGCCGCGUGAGUGAAGAAGGCCUUC